AAUUAACAAACAAAAAAAAAUUAUUUAUUUUUCAUACAAGAAGCUUCUCUUUUUUUAAGGAAAAAGACAAAAUAAUGGUAUUCAUAACUUUUCCCUUUUAUAUUAUUAUUACACCCUGAAAAACAGAAAAACAAGAACAGAAAGAGGUUCACUCUUCGCUUUCCCGCAAAAACUGGCCCAAUCUCUGUUGUGAAGGUGAAGAUCGCAGAAUCUCCCGCCGAGACCUUCACAUCUUCGUCUUAGAUGGAACAGGUUCGCGAUUCAUACACUAAUUUAAUUCCUUCCUCAUUUGAAUUAGGUUUAGAUUUCUACGUGUUAUAUACAUUGAGAUUUAUUAUGCCUAAAUUAGGAUUUCUAUAAAUUCAUUAAAUAAAUAUGAAAUCGGUUAUUUCUUUUGGUUCCACUCGUCAAAUUGCUAUAAAUCCUGGGAUUUUCAGGUUGUUUGUAACGUUUUUGUUUUCCGUCCCGAUUGUGAUUGUGAUUCAAAGUUUAUUUGGUUUCGAUAAUCAGAUUUUUUCAGUUUUACUCUGAAAUUUGUGAAACAUAAUUUCAUUAUUGCUACUUAGGGUUGUGUUUGAAUGUACGGAUUUCAUGCACUGGUUAAUUAUAAGUCCAAAUUAGUGGAGGCAUCUUUUAUAUUUCAUGAGAAUGAAGUUGACUUUAAUUGAUUAAUUUAUUAUCUUGUAACAUUGCUUCAGUUUAGGCUUGAGGGGGAUGAGGAGACAUAAGUCACAUAAAAGAUGAUCUAUUAUCUGUUUUACUAUCAUAGGUGCUUUAUUUGAUUCGUUUAUUGACCUUGUGAAAAGAAUCAACUAAUACUAGGCAUAUUGAAGCUGUAUGCGUUGCUUAUCAAAUUUCUUUUUGGGUUUAUGAAUCUGUAUGAUCUAUAUCUAUAUAUAUAUGUAUGAAUUGUGUUUUAAUUAUAUAUACUAAUUAAUACCGUACAUGUAUUGGUCCUCUAGACUGAAUAUUUGGGCAACGUGGAUCAAAUGGAGUCCAAUACUUAGGAAGAGUGAGAGAAUGUAAUUCAUGUCUACGAAAAUAAUGUGGGUUGGACAGCGUUUGAAGAUGUUAAUCUAGAGUGACAUGUGUGAUCAGGAAAUUGCUUCAAUUUCUUAAACUCAGAUUUUGAAAGAGAAAUUAAAAAUAACUUUUUAUAUUUUUUUAGGAUAAAAUAGAAUAAUAAUAAAAUUAAGAAUUGUUUUUUCCUUAAAGUGAAAAUUGUGUUUUUAUUCGUUCCUUUGACACAAAAAAUAAUCAAUCACAUAAAUAAGUUAAAGCAAGAAAAUAAAACAAUUAAACAUUCUAAAACUCAUUAGUUAUAUAUUCAUAUCCAUCAGGAAUAUUUUCUCCUACUAAAACCACAGCAUAAAUCAUUCACCUCUUCCGGAGAAGGCAAAGUUGGGCUUGGGAGGGCUUAUCUAAGUACGUGGGUGGUCACUGGUAAUUAUAUAGGCGGAAAGAGGGAUAGCUAGAAUUGUGUAGACAAUGUUCUGGAAAGAUAAUUCUGUGUUAUAGAUUUUUUAUUUUUUUUGGCUUAAAGGACCAAACAAGAACAUUAGUUUUUUUUAAUAUAUAUAUAUAUAUAUAUAUAUAUAAUUAUUAUUAUUAGACACGAGAAAAAAUAUAUUUCAACUAAUAUAGUUAUAUCAUUUAUUUUAAAAACACAAUUCAUCAAAAUCUCAACACUUGACAAAGAGUUUUAAUUUUAACAUAAGUAAAUCUUAUUUUCCUUUUUACUCUCUUUGAGAAUUGAUUCGCCACCACCAUUUUCUUCUUUUCUAAUUAAAUGGACAAGUCUACUUAGAUAAUAAUAAUACUGCCUUAAAUACACAAACCUCGUUACGCAGCAUCAACUUCAUUGAACCCAUACUUGGCUAUCCCACCUUAAAUACAACCAUAAAUUAUUAGGUUGUGCUGGCUUUCACAAACUUCUCAUACUUUCCUUCCCUCUACUUUUUUUUUUUUAAAGUUCAUGUAUUAUAUCACUACUAGGAAGAAUACAAGUUAUUGUAGAAACUACUGGAAGAAAAAAGAAACCCAAAGGAAAAAAGAAAAAGAAUGAAUUAUCACCCAAAAGAAAAUUUAGCCAUAUCUGUUUUCAGUUUGAUAGCCCCCAUUACACAAUUAGUGUUGCGGGCAUGAUUACCCACACAAAUCACUCCCUUGUAAAUAAUCUUUGUCAAAUAAGUAUAUCACGAAUAAGGUUUCACCUGUAGUAGACUGUCUUCUCCUGCGAUCUGGAAAAAGAACUGCCUUACCCUGCAAAAUAGUAUAUUAAUGUUUGAAUAGUCUCUCUGGCAGGCAGGCAGGCAGUAGCUCGCACCAUGCAAAAUCCAAUGUCUGCCCAGUAGGUGGUGAAGUCCAAUUCCAAUUCAAAAUUUUCUGGCGGUUCAACUUAUCAUGCAGCCUCAAGGGAUCAAUAUGAGGGUGGAAAAGCAGCUAAAGAUCACUUCCAAGCAUUUUAAAGUCUUUUUCAUACCUACCAUCACCUUAAUUAGACAAAUACUUGUGCACCCGUAAGGGAAAAACUUUCCGAGUUCCAUAAUUAGAGUUGAUAGCAAAAUCUUCUUUUCCUAAAUUUUCCCACUCUAGCUACCAUUCAUGGUUAUAAUGUUAUAUUUAGGUUAAUUGAUCUAACUAAAGCAAUCAACAGCAUAAAGCAAAACCAUAUUUGUGAAGCUCAUGAUAUGUCAAAGUGCAGGACAUGGCAAGAGUGCUUAGGUUAGCUGAAAGAUAAGAAAAUAGGGAAAAUUGAAUCCUGUGAUUAUUAGAAGUCAAUCCAUGGGUGCAACCACCAAAAGUUUGAGAUUUAUAAGUUACCUCACAGUUGAGAAAAAACCGUGAUCUCUACCAGCAGCAAGGUUACUCAUGCACAUAAACUGAUUCCUUCUUCUUUUUAACUAAUUGAGAUUAAGGUCCCACAAGUACCCCAAAGAGAAUGGGUAAAAAAACUCCAGGAAUAAUAUUUCAGUGAGUAUGAUUAAAAAAUAACCUAAAAUAGACCACAUAACAGAAUUACAACAAUGAAGUUAUACCUACCUCAUCACUUUGUCCUCUAGUUAAAUUUUGAUGAUAGGGAGAUUAAUCUCAACAAAGCUGUGGGAACAAAAAAGAAUUUCACCCAUGAAGAAAAUAAUUUUAAACUCCAAAAGCACACAUCCAUUAAACAUAGUAAAUUAUAAAAAUGUCUACCUCUUCUGACUUCAAAAUUCAGACAUUUAUCUACACAAUUCAG
RNAcentral lists this long non-coding RNA (3238 nucleotides) under Panax ginseng (ginseng). Its description in RNAcentral is "long non-coding RNA (PGIN_LNC010092)". The record is from RNAcentral. Lineage: Eukaryota; Viridiplantae; Streptophyta; Magnoliopsida; Apiales; Araliaceae.